UUUGUACUCCCUCCGUCCCAAAAUUCUUGUCUUAAUUUUGUCUAUAUACGGAUGUAUCUAGUUAUAUUUUAGUGUUAGAUACAUCUGUAUCUAAACAAAUGUAAGACAAGAAUUUUGGGACGGAGAGAAUACUAC
This is a non-coding RNA of Triticum urartu, 135 nucleotides long. The record is from Rfam. Lineage: Eukaryota; Viridiplantae; Streptophyta; Magnoliopsida; Poales; Poaceae.